ACUCAAAUGAAUUGACGGGGGCCCGCACAAGCGGUGGAGCAUGUGGUUCAAUUCGACGCAACGCGAAGAACCUUACCUGGGCUCGAACGGCUUAAGAACAACGGUAGAAAUACUGUCUUCCCGCAAGGGACUUGAGUCGAGGUGCUGCAUGGCUGUCGUCAGCUCGUGUCGUGAGAUGUUGGGUUAAGUCCCGCAACGAGCGCAACCCUUGUCCUGUGUUGCCACUCCGUAAGGAAGCACUCGCAGGAGACCGCCAGCGAUAAGCUGGAGGAAGGUGGGGAUGAUGUCAAGUCAUCAUGGCCUUUAUGUCCAGGGCUACACACGUGCUACAAUGGGCGGUACAAAGCGCUGCAAACCCGCGAGGGGGAGCUAAUCGCAAAAAACCGUUCUCAGUUCGGAUCGCAGGCUGCAACUCGCCUGCGUGAAGCUGGAAUCGCUAGUAAUGGCGUAUCAGAAUGAUGCCGUGAAUACGUUCCCGGGCCUUGCACACACCGCCCGU
Molecule: ribosomal RNA, 499 nt
Filed under: uncultured bacterium
Lineage: Bacteria
Description: partial 16S ribosomal RNA
Rfam family: Bacterial small subunit ribosomal RNA
Source: RNAcentral